RNAcentral lists this ribosomal RNA (732 nucleotides) under Peribacillus simplex. Its description in RNAcentral is "bacterial SSU rRNA". It matches the Rfam family "Bacterial small subunit ribosomal RNA", at positions 18 to 734 of the family's 1533-position model. Lineage: Bacteria; Bacillati; Bacillota; Bacilli; Caryophanales; Bacillaceae. The record is from RNAcentral.
CCUGGCUCAGGACGAACGCUGGCGGCGUGCCUAAUACAUGCAAGUCGAGCGAAUCGAUGGGAGCUUGCUCCCUGAGAUUAGCGGCGGACGGGUGAGUAACACGUGGGCAACCUGCCUAUAAGACUGGGAUAACUUCGGGAAACCGGAGCUAAUACCGGAUACGUUCUUUUCUCGCAUGAGAGAAGAUGGAAAGACGGUUUACGCUGUCACUUAUAGAUGGGCCCGCGGCGCAUUAGCUAGUUGGUGAGGUAAUGGCUCACCAAGGCGACGAUGCGUAGCCGACCUGAGAGGGUGAUCGGCCACACUGGGACUGAGACACGGCCCAGACUCCUACGGGAGGCAGCAGUAGGGAAUCUUCCGCAAUGGACGAAAGUCUGACGGAGCAACGCCGCGUGAACGAAGAAGGCCUUCGGGUCGUAAAGUUCUGUUGUUAGGGAAGAACAAGUACCAGAGUAACUGCUGGUACCUUGACGGUACCUAACCAGAAAGCCACGGCUAACUACGUGCCAGCAGCCGCGGUAAUACGUAGGUGGCAAGCGUUGUCCGGAAUUAUUGGGCGUAAAGCGCGCGCAGGUGGUUCCUUAAGUCUGAUGUGAAAGCCCACGGCUCAACCGUGGAGGGUCAUUGGAAACUGGGGAACUUGAGUGCAGAAGAGGAAAGUGGAAUUCCAAGUGUAGCGGUGAAAUGCGUAGAGAUUUGGAGGAACACCAGUGGCGAAGGCGACUUUCGGUC